AACGAACGCUGGCGGCACGCCUAACACAUGCAAGUCGAACGCGAACGGAACUUCGGUUCUUAUUAGAGUGGCGGACGGGUGAGUAUCGCGUGGGAACAUGCCCUUUUGUACGGAACAACCAUUGGAAACGAUGGCUAAUACCGUAUACGCCCUUCGGGGGAAAGAUUUAUCGCAAAAGGAUUGGCCCGCGUUAGAUUAGCUAGUUGGUGAGAUAAGAGCUCACCAAGGCUACGAUCUAUAGCUGGUUUGAGAGGAUGAUCAGCCACACUGGGACUGAGACACGGCCCAGACUCCUACGGGAGGCAGCAGUGGGGAAUAUUGGACAAUGGGGGCAACCCUGAUCCAGCGAUGCCGCGUGAGUGAUGAAGGCCUUAGGGUUGUAAAACUCUUUCAGGUGGGAUGAUAAUGACAGUACCACCAGAAGAAGCUCCGGCUAACUCCG
Molecule: ribosomal RNA, 442 nt
Filed under: uncultured Kordiimonadaceae bacterium
Lineage: Bacteria; Pseudomonadati; Pseudomonadota; Alphaproteobacteria; Kordiimonadales; Kordiimonadaceae
Description: bacterial SSU rRNA
Rfam family: Bacterial small subunit ribosomal RNA
Source: RNAcentral